UGGGGGUCCAGCUUUGUGUUUGACCUCAGGGCAGCGUGUUGCCGGGUUAGAAGGCAUGUUCCUAAACGCAACUUCUGGGCGUUGGGGUGAAAGGUCAGAGGUGGCAGGGGGGUCAAAGGUCCUGACGGUGACCCCUGGAUGAGGGUCAGAUGGGGGCAGGGCCUGGCUCAGUUUGAUCCCUGAACUCAGCUUCUGAGCUGUGAUGUCACAGAUCACCUCCUUCUGUCUGACCUCUGUGGCGUGCCGUGGCGGGAGGUCAAUGUUCGUCUCCCUGGUGACCCCGUGUGUGACCUCACCACAUACCGUCGUACCGUCUGGUACGCCCCUUUUAGAGACACCCGCUGAUGUAAAACUGUCCUCUACAUCAUCGUCCUCCAUCCCUCGACCCAUCUCAGCUUGGAAGAGUGUCCUGUUAAACUCAGCAGUGGCCUGUUCCAGCAUCAUAUUCCUACUGUGGCCUGGAGGGUUGGAGCCUGGAGGGUUGGAGUCUGGAGGGUUGGAGCCUGGAGGGUUGGAGCCUGGAGGGUUGGAGCCUGGAGGGUUGGAGUCUGGAGGGUUGGAGCCUGGAGGGUUGGAGUCUGGAGGGUUGGAGCCUGGAGGGUUGGAGCCUGGAGGGUUGGAGCCUGGAGGGUUGGAGCCUGGAGGGGGUAACUCUAAGGUAAGGUCAAGACAGAUGUGUGAAACUGCUAGGUCUUUGUUUCCAGGUUGUAUAUGACUCUCUCUCUCAGGGCUUCUAGGACUUCUAGGUUUCUCAACGGGCCUGUAGUCGUGGAUCAAGUCCUUCUCAGCAGCACUCACUAUGUUGACUUCAGACAGGCUCUUCUGGACAGGCACGUAGGUGGACGACUUGCUGCUGCCGAAGCGGCUCCCGUCACAGGACCAGCGGUUGUGGCAACAGCCCACGUUGCAGUGGGAGUUAAAGGGAACAGCGCAGGUGGUAAACCCCGCCUCCGUCAGAACUUUCCCCUCGUUCUCCUGCAGCAUCGCCUCGAACUUCCUCACUAUCGAUGGGCUGCUGCUGCACUUCCUGUCUAACAGGAGACAGGGGCUGUGGCACUUCCUGCCUGAGCCACUGAGGGAUUCUGGGAUGUGUAGUUGUAGUUCAGGGGAGGGGCUGGCGAGGUACCAUGAUGUUGUCCGAGGAGGGAUAGGAGGAGGAACCAGCAGAGGGGGAGCGGAGGUGCUUCUCUCUCCCUCUCAGAGGGCUUGGAUGUGGGGUCCUUGAGGUGACUGGGGCCCCUGGUGGGCUCCUUGAGGUGACUGGGGCCCCUGUCGGGGUCCUUGAGGUGACUGGGGCCCCUGUCGGGGUCCUUGAGGUGACUGGGGCCCCUGGCAGGGUCCUUCCUGAUGGACAGCCAGUUCUCCUCUUCCAGGGCCCUGAGGUCAGCUACCAGCUGCGUCAGGUUGAAGGCAGGGUCCUCCAUUCUCUCUCUGGUCGUAACAUGAUCCACCUCGGGAAAUACGAGGACUCGGUUCGACCCCU
Molecule: long non-coding RNA, 1483 nt
Organism: Oncorhynchus tshawytscha (Chinook salmon)
Lineage: Eukaryota; Metazoa; Chordata; Actinopteri; Salmoniformes; Salmonidae
Source: Ensembl